GCUAAGUAUCAGCUUCAGAGCUGGAUCCACUGGACCAGCUGAAGAGAGGAGAAUCUCUUUGACUGAUUCCAACUCACUGUUGAAGCACAACUACUCAUCUCUGACUGGAAUACUUGAGAAAAUCAAACAGAUCAACCAAAAAAAGUUCAUUUUUGUCUUGUUUUCUUUUGUGCAUAGUUUCUUUGUCUACUGCAUCUCCAAAGAGAAGCACUUAGAGAGUACUCAACUUCUUCCAGCAUUGUAUAUCAAAUAGUCACUUCUCUGUCAUACGCAUAUUUUUAUUGUUGAGCAUUUAGGCAGUGACGUGCAUAUUUUUUGAUAAGGGUCUAUCGCACUUCAAGAUUUGGAGCAACUUCACUGAGUAUGAAUGUUAAUGAAAGACCACAUUCCUCUCUUCCUCCAAAGACUGAGUCCUUUAUUCAGAGGGACAUAAUGAUGGAGAUAAUGGCUGGGUCAUCGAUACCACCCUCUCUUCUUUCUAAAGGAAAUGGAAGUUACUUUCCUGUGUCCUGGUGAAUGCAGUUUUGACAACACAUCAGUUAAAAAAACAAUUGGAUGGGAUGAAAAAAGGACCGAACACAUAUCACGUUUCUGGGCUCCUCCUCUGCAGGAUGAUGAUUCUGGGCCUGGAGGCAUUCACAACCAUACGCACUCCUGCCGUUGAUGCCUUCUGAACACACUCCUAUCCAUUCCAACUCUCCUCUUCAAAUCUUUAGGUACACAGUUUUGUAAGGACACAACUGAGAAUGUUUUGUUUAAUUUAAGAGAAUUGUGACUGGGAAGGACUUUGCCAACCUAACCCUGAAAUCUAAUCCUGCUACCUUCUCUGGUGAGCAUUGGAAGCUCAGGCUGAGUCGAGCUGCUCUGUUGGAAGCUAUGCAUUAUUGCCAUGAGAGCCACAGCGGCACACCCCACUCGGCCUCCUGGGGCUUCAGCACGAAAUGCUCUGCAGUCACAUCCACACAAAUGGCUCUGCAUGCAUGUGCAGCCUCAGCUCUUCAGGCUGUGGCUGGAUCCUGUUCUAGUUUGGGUAAGUGCCCUCCUACACUGAGGGAAGAGAUGCAUUUACCCAUCUGGUGAUUUUAUGGCAACAUUAAUUGACCAAAAGUAUAAUUAUGCAUUUGCUAUUAUGCACACGGCAGUCAGUCACAAUUAUUUACCAAGAUGCCUAAGGUGAUUAAAAAAGACAAACUAUGACAUGUGGGAAGUCCUAAGCUGCCACGUCAUCCAAAUGUGCAGAAAACAACACAUUCCUAGUAGGAACUCACAAGUAAAGUUACUCGUGUUUUCACUUACCCAAGAAAGCUACUGACUGAGGGGUUCAUCAGUACUGCUUUCAGGGAGUGCAAAAACAUGGGAAUAGUCACAGUGAAUUAGUCUGGAAAGUGGGGAAGCACACUGCAACACGUUCUGGAGUAUUUUCCCAUCUGAGUUAACAAGGCUGGGUGUGGAAUAUGGCAGAAUAUGGAAUAUGGAGCCCUCACCUUUGUCACAAGGGGUCUCUCAUGUAAGGAGUUGCGUUGGACUUUUUCUUCCCUAGAUCACUUUCGAACUCUGGAUUGAAUACAAACAUUAGUUGUCUAUCAUUGAAAAGCACGUAUCAAGCCUGAAGAAACUCCUGAAACCUUCAAAGCUAACAACUCUGAUGAGAGAGGUGCUUUUUACAAUGCCAGCAGCCAGAGUGAACUCUUCCUUUCAUCCCAUCUGCUUCCUCUGGACACUUCCCAUCCCUGCUAAAAACAUUCUGCAAAUUUCAGUGGUGCUGUAGCUCUACAGCAGGAAACAGCUGGUAUUGGUGUCCUGCAAGCAAGGACAGAGCACAAGAUGGAACUCUGAUCCCAGCACUGCAACUCUUAUGAAUGAGCACAUUCUGUGUCAUCAGGUUAUUACACAGUGAACUCUACCUAAAAACAGUAGCAUGGCCAUCAGGGGAGGCAGAGUCCUGCCAUGAAACAAUGCUGACCUCUGGCAAGUGGGAUGAAUUGUAUGGUAAGAAGAGAAAAAAAGAUCUAUUUUCUAGCCAAAGCACUCUGUCACAAAUGUAGAUGGUUGGCAAUGUGCAUGGUUGGCAAACCAUUUCAUCAGUGUGCUCUGCACACAAUGAGCUCAUAAUUUGUGAUACAGUGGGAAGCAAUCAUUUCAAACAGGCUGAGAGAGCUGGGGCUCUUCAGCCUGAAGAAGAGAAGGCUUCAAGGGGACCUUACAGUGACCUUCCAGUACCUGAAGGAGGCCUAUGGGAAAGCUGGGGAGGGACUUUUUAGAAGGGCACAUAGUGACAGGAUGAGGGAAAAUGGUUUUAAACUGGAAGAGGGUAAGUUUAGACUAGCUACUGGAAAGAAAUUCUUUACUAUGAAGGUGGUGAGACACUGGAACAGGUUUCCUGGGAAGGGUGUGAAUGUCCCCUCCCUGGAAGCAUUCAAGGCCAGACUGGAUGGGACUUUGAGCAUCCUGGCCUAGUGGGAGGUGUCCCUGCCUAUAGCAGGGGAUUGGAACCAGAUCAUCUUAAAGGUCCCUUCCAACUCAAACCAUUCUAUGAUUCUAUGAUAAUUUUAGGAGAAAUAAGGAGGACACUUUCAGAUACAGCUGAUAGCCUUCACUUUCAGAUAGACUUCACCAGGAUGGCAAAAGCAGCUCCAGCUUCCUCUUGAAUUUUACUUUUCCUGGAAAAAUAUCUUAUAUUGUUGGCCAGUCUUCCUGCCCCAUGAAAGGGGACCUGGUUGGGAAAAGUCAGCGUCUCCCUUAUUCCUCUAAGGAUUAUUACUGGAGGAAGGAUAUGACAGGAAAACCCUGGGUUCCCAUAGAGCAAAUUCAUCAUCUCUAAAAUUGGUCCUGGAUGUUCCUUCACCAGGCCUCCUCCUGUUAAAUGAAAACUAAUGGAAGAAUGCUAAGAUGGGCAUCCUUCUUUUGAAUUGAUAGCUGACAGAGAUUUAGAUUCUUAUCACCUUAGAAUUUCUAGGAUGGAGAAAAAUGCUAUUAGGAAAGUUGGAGAACUAAAGCUAUAUAUAUUUGGAGAUGAAAAAUAUGUUUGUAAUUAAGAGAUAAAUGAAUGUUGGAAGAACUGAUGAUGCUAGAAAUGGUAGUAGAGUUCUGGGAAUGGGAUACUGAACCAUCUGGGGGACCUGGGACCAGGGUGACCCUCUAGGGGACCAGGUGCUCUGGGGCUGAAAAUUGAUGGGAAGCUUGAAGAUAGAUCAACUUCAUAUAGUUAUUUUUAAAGUAGCGAGCUGAAAUAUACUCUUAUUUUUUGAAUAAAUCUUAUGAUUUUGCAUACCAGGGUUGCAAUUAUUGAUUCUUUGUAACUGUCAACACUGCAUGCAGUACAUAAACACAAAUGUGAUAUAGCUUUUUGUAUGUGAGGAAGGAAGAACACUAAAACGUCUCCCAGAGCAUUUACAACACUUAUGAAUUAUUUUUUUCCACUCUCCCGGGAACUAAGUUUAUGAAGAAGAAUAGUCCAUCAAAAAACAUUUUCAGGAAAACUCCACCAAAAGCUUGAGCUGGUUAAGGGAUUUUCUGUUCUUG
This 3522-nucleotide long non-coding RNA is filed under the name Gallus gallus (chicken). RNAcentral describes it as "lncRNA (ENSGALG00010004215.1)". The record is from RNAcentral. Lineage: Eukaryota; Metazoa; Chordata; Aves; Galliformes; Phasianidae.